RNAcentral lists this ribosomal RNA (1515 nucleotides) under Escherichia coli. RNAcentral's name for it is "bacterial SSU rRNA". It matches the Rfam family "Bacterial small subunit ribosomal RNA". The record is from RNAcentral. Lineage: Bacteria; Pseudomonadati; Pseudomonadota; Gammaproteobacteria; Enterobacterales; Enterobacteriaceae.
CGGCAGGCCUAACACAUGCAAGUCGAACGGUAACAGGAAGCAGCUUGCUGCUUUGCUGACGAGUGGCGGACGGGUGAGUAAUGUCUGGGAAACUGCCUGAUGGAGGGGGAUAACUACUGGAAACGGUAGCUAAUACCGCAUAACGUCGCAAGACCAAAGAGGGGGACCUUCGGGCCUCUUGCCAUCGGAUGUGCCCAGAUGGGAUUAGCUUGUUGGUGGGGUAACGGCUCACCAAGGCGACGAUCCCUAGCUGGUCUGAGAGGAUGACCAGCCACACUGGAACUGAGACACGGUCCAGACUCCUACGGGAGGCAGCAGUGGGGAAUAUUGCACAAUGGGCGCAAGCCUGAUGCAGCCAUGCCGCGUGUAUGAAGAAGGCCUUCGGGUUGUAAAGUACUUUCAGCGGGGAGGAAGGGAGUAAAGUUAAUACCUUUGCUCAUUGACGUUACCCGCAGAAGAAGCACCGGCUAACUCCGUGCCAGCAGCCGCGGUAAUACGGAGGGUGCAAGCGUUAAUCGGAAUUACUGGGCGUAAAGCGCACGCAGGCGGUUUGUUAAGUCAGAUGUGAAAUCCCCGGGCUCAACCUGGGAACUGCAUCUGAUACUGGCAAGCUUGAGUCUCGUAGAGGGGGGUAGAAUUCCAGGUGUAGCGGUGAAAUGCGUAGAGAUCUGGAGGAAUACCGGUGGCGAAGGCGGCCCCCUGGACGAAGACUGACGCUCAGGUGCGAAAGCGUGGGGAGCAAACAGGAUUAGAUACCCUGGUAGUCCACGCCGUAAACGAUGUCGACUUGGAGGUUGUGCCCUUGAGGCGUGGCUUCCGGAGCUAACGCGUUAAGUCGACCGCCUGGGGAGUACGGCCGCAAGGUUAAAACUCAAAUGAAUUGACGGGGGCCCGCACAAGCGGUGGAGCAUGUGGUUUAAUUCGAUGCAACGCGAAGAACCUUACCUGGUCUUGACAUCCACGGAAGUUUUCAGAGAUGAGAAUGUGCCUUCGGGAACCGUGAGACAGGUGCUGCAUGGCUGUCGUCAGCUCGUGUUGUGAAAUGUUGGGUUAAGUCCCGCAACGAGCGCAACCCUUAUCCUUUGUUGCCAGCGGUCCGGCCGGGAACUCAAAGGAGACUGCCAGUGAUAAACUGGAGGAAGGUGGGGAUGACGUCAAGUCAUCAUGGCCCUUACGACCAGGGCUACACACGUGCUACAAUGGCGCAUACAAAGAGAAGCGACCUCGCGAGAGCAAGCGGACCUCAUAAAGUGCGUCGUAGUCCGGAUUGGAGUCUGCAACUCGACUCCAUGAAGUCGGAAUCGCUAGUAAUCGUGGAUCAGAAUGCCACGGUGAAUACGUUCCCGGGCCUUGUACACACCGCCCGUCACACCAUGGGAGUGGGUUGCAAAAGAAGUAGGUAGCUUAACCUUCGGGAGGGCGCUUACCACUUUGUGAUUCAUGACUGGGGUGAAGUCGUAACAAGGUAACCGUAGGGGAACCUGCGGUUGGAUCACCUCCUUACCUUAAAGAAGC